CAGUAGCCGCGGUAAUACGAAGGGGGCUAGCGUUGUUCGGAAUUACUGGGCGUAAAGCGCACGUAGGCGGUUUUGUAAGUCAGAGGUGAAAGCCCGGAGCUCAACUCCGGAACUGCCUUUGAGACUGCAUCACUUGAACGUCGGAGAGGUGAGUGGAAUUCCGAGUGUAGAGGUGAAAUUCGUAGAUAUUCGGAAGAACACCAGUGGCGAAGGCGGCUCACUGGACGACUGUUGACGCUGAGGUGCGAAAGCGUGGGGAGCAAACAGGAUUAGAUACCCCCGUAGUCCCUGUCUCUUAUAC
This 301-nucleotide ribosomal RNA is filed under the name uncultured bacterium. RNAcentral describes it as "partial 16S ribosomal RNA". It matches the Rfam family "Bacterial small subunit ribosomal RNA", at positions 509 to 807 of the family's 1533-position model. The record is from RNAcentral.